RNAcentral lists this ribosomal RNA (645 nucleotides) under Triticum aestivum (bread wheat). Its description in RNAcentral is "partial small subunit ribosomal RNA". The record is from RNAcentral. Lineage: Eukaryota; Viridiplantae; Streptophyta; Magnoliopsida; Poales; Poaceae.
AUGGCGAAGGAAGGUAGGGCCGGCGGCCUCGACCUGGAAAUAGUUUGGAUCGCCGACGUGCCAGGAGGAGGAGGCGGCCUCGCAGCGGAAGUAGGCAAGGGCCCGGCGUGCCGGCCUCGCACAGGAAGAGGCAGGAUCGCCGGCGGGCCAGGAGGAGGUGGGGUGGGGAGGGGCGGCAGCGGCGGCCUCGCGCCGCCGGAAGCAGGCAGGGGCGCCAACUGCCGCGCGCCUAAAGGAGGCUUGGGGGCGGCGGUGCGCCGGGCGGAGGCAGGUCGGCGGCGCUGGUGCCAGGAGGAGGCGGGGGAGGCGGCGCCAGGAGGUCGAGCGACGGCGGGAUCUGGCAGAGUGGCGCACGGGGUUACAUGCGCCGGCGGCGGCGGUUCUGAGGGCUGGUGCCGACGGGUCGGUGGGUGGGAGGUGGGGAUCGAGGGAGUGCGGAAGGUGGGGAUCGAGGGAAGUGGGGGACGGUGGGGAUCAUUGUUUUUUUUUCUUUGUUCCAGCGGGUUCGGGAGUUCGGGAACAACGAAUCAGGCAUAUAUAUGGGUGAUCGUGAUCCAAAUAACUAUUCUAAUCCUGAGAUUAUAUAUAUGUGUGUGCGCCCCUACGGCAUCAUCAAUCAUAUUGUGCAUUGCAAAAUAUUUAUAG